UCUCCCAUAGCUCAGUUGGUUAGAGCGUGCGACUGUUAAUCGCGAGGUCACCGGUUCGAACCCGGUUGGGAGAG
This 74-nucleotide transfer RNA is filed under the name bacterium. Its description in RNAcentral is "tRNA-Asn". It matches the Rfam family "tRNA". Rfam says of the family: Transfer RNA (tRNA) molecules are approximately 80 nucleotides in length. Their secondary structure includes four short double-helical elements and three loops (D, anti-codon, and T loops). Further hydrogen bonds mediate the characteristic L-shaped molecular structure. tRNAs have two regions of fundamental functional importance: the anti-codon, which is responsible for specific mRNA codon recognition, and the 3' end, to which the tRNAs corresponding amino acid is attached (by aminoacyl-tRNA synthetases). tRNAs cope with the degeneracy of the genetic code in two manners: having more than one tRNA (with a specific anti-codon) for a particular amino acid; and 'wobble' base-pairing, i.e. permitting non-standard base-pairing at the 3rd anti-codon position. The record is from RNAcentral.